This 376-nucleotide long non-coding RNA is filed under the name Trifolium pratense (red clover). Its description in RNAcentral is "long non-coding RNA (TPRA_LNC005706)". Lineage: Eukaryota; Viridiplantae; Streptophyta; Magnoliopsida; Fabales; Fabaceae. The record is from RNAcentral.
GCCUCUCCACUUGAAGUCAUUCUCACUCCACGUUUGUCUACCCAAGUUUUUAGUCAAAACCUAUGACCAUGGCUAUUGUGAUUCUACUAAAUUUACCAUAAGAUCGUUUAUUUUGCACCAAAAGGACAUUUGGCUUUAUUCUGUUAUCCAGCUCGCUGUCAUUAUGUUAAAUUGUCAUAUAAUUGGGGAGUGAUCUCUUUAUUAAUUUCGAAAAUAUUAAUAUAAAAUUUAAAAAUCAUAAAGUAAAAUCCUAAAAAUAUAUUUGUGAUGCUCCAAUUUCUUAGGGAUUGGUUGUCCUUGUUUCUAGUAUUGUUUGUGGUGUUUUUUGUUUGUUGGCACUUUGCAUGUGUUAGGAAAUAAAAGAGUUGAAGAAGAA